Molecule: non-coding RNA, 23 nt
Filed under: Cricetulus griseus (Chinese hamster)
Lineage: Eukaryota; Metazoa; Chordata; Mammalia; Rodentia; Cricetidae
Source: RNAcentral
UAUUUGUCUGUAAAAAUUGUAUA